RNAcentral lists this ribosomal RNA (862 nucleotides) under Metapochonia suchlasporia. RNAcentral's name for it is "LSU rRNA". It matches the Rfam family "Eukaryotic large subunit ribosomal RNA", at positions 75 to 967 of the family's 3401-position model. The record is from RNAcentral. Lineage: Eukaryota; Fungi; Ascomycota; Sordariomycetes; Hypocreales; Clavicipitaceae.
UUGCCCAGUAACGGCGAGUGAAGCGGCAACAGCUCAAAUUUGAAAUCUGGCCCCCAGGGUCCGAGUUGUAAUUUGCAGAGGAUGAUUUUGGCGAGGUGCCUUCCGAGUUCCCUGGAACGGGACGCCACAGAGGGUGAGAGCCCCGUCUGGUUGGACGCCGAGCCUAUGUAAAUCUCCUUCGACGAGUCGAGUAGUUUGGGAAUGCUGCUCUAAAUGGGAGGUAUAUGUCUUCUAAAGCUAAAUAUUGGCCAGAGACCGAUAGCGCACAAGUAGAGUGAUCGAAAGAUGAAAAGCACUUUGAAAAGAGGGUUAAAUAGUACGUGAAAUUGUUGAAAGGGAAGCGCUCAUGACCAGACUUGGGCCCGGUGAAUCAUCCAGCGUUCUCGCUGGUGCACUUUGCCGGGCACAGGCCAGCAUCAGUUUGCCCUGGGGGAUAAAGGCUUUGGGAAUGUGGCUCCUCCGGGAGUGUUAUAGCCCAUUGCAUAAUAUCCUGGGGCGGACUGAGGUUCGCGCAUCUGCAAGGAUGCUGGCGUAAUGGUCAUCAGCGACCCGUCUUGAAACACGGACCAAGGAGUCGUCUUCGUAUGCGAGUGUUCGGGUGUAAAACCCCUACGCGUAAUGAAAGUGAACGCAGGUGAGAGCUUCGGCGCAUCAUCGACCGAUCCUGAUGUUCUCGGAUGGAUUUGAGUAAGAGCAUACGGGGCCGGACCCGAAAGAAGGUGAACUAUGCCUGUAUAGGGUGAAGCCAGAGGAAACUCUGGUGGAGGCUCGCAGCGGUUCUGACGUGCAAAUCGAUCGUCAAAUAUGGGCAUGGGGGCGAAAGACUAAUCGAACCUUCUAGUAGCUGGGUUUCCGCCGAAGU